Molecule: long non-coding RNA, 1516 nt
Organism: Aphis gossypii (cotton aphid)
Lineage: Eukaryota; Metazoa; Arthropoda; Insecta; Hemiptera; Aphididae
Exons: 4
Source: RefSeq, a predicted model, not a curated record
UAUUGAAUUAAUCGUAUUUUACUGUCGUUUAAUCCAACUAUAAUUUAGGUAUAUUCAAUUAUAUUACUUAUAAUGUAUAGAUAUUAUGUAUAAUCAAUAUUAAUCGUUAUUGCGUUGGCGUCGUUUCAUUUUUUCACAAUUGUGCUGUAUAUAUAAUAUUGUCUAUAUAAAAUCAUCACUGAAUACUAUUAUUAUCUGUGUAAUAUUUGUACCGCAGCCACUGCAUGCUACAUUAUCUGUAAUCGAAUGGAAAAGGUCGUUGUUUACUAUAUACAUAAUCAUAUGUAUAAAAUGUCUAUAUCAUAAUUUUAUAUUUCAGGCAUAAUAAUAAUAUGUACAUAUGCUUCUCGUCAUCAUCGAUAAUAGAAAAAAAACGUGUUUUUCUCAGUUUGCAUAGACUACAUGCUGAAUAGUGAACACACACUGUGUGUGUGUGACGUGUGUAUAUGUUUUAAUAACAAAUAGCGAAAAUCUUCUAUAGUCAUCGUCGUAUUAUAUAAAACACAAAAUAAUAUGUACUGUGUAGGUACUUCAAGAUGUGAAAAAUAUAUUUUCAAACAAAUGCGUUAUGGAUGGUUAGUAGAUAUAUAUUUAUAUUUAGUGUUAUAUAGUUUUCAUACCGUGAAGGUCAAAAUGCAAUUAUUUGUUUUUACAUUUUUUUCCGAAUAGUAAAAAAAAUUAAAGAAAAAUCUCGUGUCACAGCUGUACAAUACUUUAUAUUGGUUGGAAGUGCGUAUCCAUUAUUUACACACCGAAACGACCUUACAAAUAUUUAUUUUUUUAUUUUAUGUCGGAUAGUUUAGCGAAACGUAUACAUUAAUUUGAAUAACCGUGCAGUAAAGAACAGGCGCGGUAUAGACCAUAUUAUAAAAUAAUUUUAUUUAUGUCUAUAAAAGGAUGAACGCGAAUUGUCUUGUGAAAAUAAAUAGUGUCUCGCAUACUAAAAUAUAGUCGUUGUGUUCUUAUUCUUUGCAUAAUAUGUGCGGCGUGAAGUUGGCUCCCGGAGUUCACCUCUACCAUGGUUCUAUGUUUAUAUUUUUCUUAAAGAUCCGAAACAGGCAGAUCGCUCAUCUCGAUCAAAUAAGUUCACAAAGUGGUACAUCUACGCUGACUUUUCCGUGAACGAAAUAUGCUAAGACAAGGAUACACGAAUAUUAUAAUAUGGUAUAUCGUGCGUGUGCUUUGAUACGAUUACAGACCAUUAACUUCGACUCCCGUUCCUUGGCCGCAUUUGUUCGUAAGCGGAUACAGACGCGUUUGUAUAAAAUAAUAUUAAAACAGUCUGUUUAGAUUUGAUUUUCUGAUCAUAGUUUUUUUUUUCAGCGUUUUUUCUUCUCACAUCGUUGGUUAUUUUAUCAGUGAUAGUUUGUAUUUUUAAUACUGUGAUCUAUGAUACAGUCUUGCAUUACAUUAUCUAUAUUGGCUGUAUCGGAAUUAUAAUAAAUAAAUAACAUUAUAAUGCAUUACUUGUACAUCAUAGGUUAUAGGUACUUAAUUUUCAGGGUUUUUUUUUUUU